RNAcentral lists this ribosomal RNA (376 nucleotides) under uncultured bacterium. RNAcentral describes it as "bacterial SSU rRNA". It matches the Rfam family "Bacterial small subunit ribosomal RNA", at positions 521 to 896 of the family's 1533-position model. The record is from RNAcentral.
UAAGACGAACCGUGCGAACGUUGUUCGGAAUCACUGGGCUUAAAGGGCGCGUAGGCGGCUUGCCAAGUCAGGGGUGAAAUCUUUCGGCUUAACCGGAAAAUAGCCUCUGAUACUGGCGAGCUCGAGCGAGGUAGGGGCCGUUGGAACUUCCGGUGGAGCGGUGAAAUGCGUUGAUAUCGGAAGGAACGCCGGUGGCGAAAGCGAACGGCUGGACCUCUUCUGACGCUGAGGCGCGAAAGCCAGGGGAGCAAACGGGAUUAGAUACCCCGGUAGUCCUGGCCCUAAACGAUGGGUACUAGGUAGUGGACUAGACAUGGGUUCCCUGCCGAAGCAAAAGUGUUAAGUACCCCGCCUGGGGAGUAUGGUCGCAAGGCUG